AUUGAACGCUGGCGGCAGGCCUAACACAUGCAAGUCGAACGGUAACAGGAAGACGCUUGCUUCUUUGCUGACGAGUGGCGGGCGGGUGAGUAAUGUCUGGGAAACUGCCUGAUGGAGGGGGAUAACUACUGGAAACGGUAGCUAAUACCGCAUAACGUCGCAAGACCAAAAAGGGGGACCUUCGGGCCUCUUGCCAUCGGAUGUGCGCAGAUGGGAUUAGCUAGUAGGUGGGGUAACGGCUCAACUAGGCGACGAUCCCUAGCUGGUCUGAGAGGAUGACCAGCCACACUGGAACUGAGACACGGCCCAGACUCCUACGGGAGGCAGCAGUGGGGAAUAUUGCACAAGGGGCGCAAGCCUGAUGCAGCCAUGCCGCGUGUAUGAAGAAGGCCUUCGGGUUGUAAAGUACUUUCAGCGGGGAGGAAGGGAGUAAAGUUAAUACCUUUGCUCAUUGACGUUACCCGCAGAAGAAGCACCGGCUAACUCCGUG
This 490-nucleotide ribosomal RNA is filed under the name uncultured bacterium. RNAcentral describes it as "partial 16S ribosomal RNA". It matches the Rfam family "Bacterial small subunit ribosomal RNA", at positions 30 to 507 of the family's 1533-position model. The record is from RNAcentral.